UUGCCAGUCAGUAUGAUGCAUCUCUUUGGCAGCUGGCUCUGUGCAAGCACUCAGGAUGAAGUGAUCAACAUCUGGAUCAGUAUUUGGUUGAACAAUUGGACAUCUUAGCUGAGCUCAUGCAGAAACCUGGCCAUCACAGUGCUUACCUGUAAGUUCUGGAUGCAUAUGUGUGGAGUAAAACUUAAACAAGGACAAAGUGGGCCAAUGCUUCCAGGACAGU
Fukomys damarensis (Damara mole-rat) is the source of this 220-nucleotide long non-coding RNA. RefSeq lists it as uncharacterized. NCBI's taxonomy places the organism in Eukaryota, Metazoa, Chordata, Mammalia, Rodentia, Bathyergidae. The record is from RefSeq and is a predicted model, not a curated record. The transcript is spliced from 3 exons.